Long non-coding RNA from Arvicola amphibius (Eurasian water vole), 1402 nucleotides. RefSeq lists it as uncharacterized. NCBI's taxonomy places the organism in Eukaryota, Metazoa, Chordata, Mammalia, Rodentia, Cricetidae. The transcript is spliced from 2 exons. The record is from RefSeq and is a predicted model, not a curated record.
CCCUCUGGGGCAGUUCCAGCCUGCGCAGAGAAGGCUCGGAUGGGUCGAGAAAGAGAAGACAGACCAUCUCUAUUUCCACACACCCUCAGCUGGAGAAACAAAACAAAGGCAGCCCUCCUUCCCGGUAGCCACUACCCCAGCCACAGAGGCUUUCCUAUUUCCCGGUGCAGUCUGGCCUCCCGCCCCCGCCCCAUGACAAAGAAAAGGCACUUGGUGAGCAAGGCCUUCCUGCCUCCACGAUUGGGGGAGGGGGCUGCGAGGUCCCUCUCCGUGAGAUUUGGGGAAGAGCGCUGCCUAUACUUUAGAGUACCUGGUUGCAAAAUAUUGAGGUUGGCCUGGUUUGAGCUUGGAAAGGAAGACGGGGACAAAAGCCGAAGAGUCAGUGCGAGGCCAACCUGUGUACUUCCUUGCCAGUCAGCGCUACAGAGUGAGACCGCCUCUAAAGACAAAAGGCUGCGGUUGAACUUUUACUUCGUACGGAUCCUUUCUGCUUGUUCUACCUGGAUAUGUCAUGACUGAAGAGAGAUAGGGAGACAUGGUCUUCAGUCCCUGGGUUAGGAUACUCCAGGAUUGUUCGCUAAGGAAACCAGGAGACUGUUGGGCACAGGGGCUCACGCUUUUGAUUUCAGUACUUGAUAGGCAGAGGCAGGCUGAUUGAAUUCAAGGCCAACCUAGUCUACCUAACUAGUUCCAGGACAGCCAGAGCUACAAAGCAAACUGUCAGAGCUGUCUCAAAAAAACAAGCAAACAAACAAAAAUAGAAACCAGAAUACUGAAAUAAAUUCCAAACAUACCAUUUUGGGUACAGAAAGCUCCAUUAACCCCUUGUUUGAUCAGCUUCUGUAAAAGAGGACUGAUUACACUUAAAAGAAUUUGUAAUGGUUAAAUUGAAUCUACAGGUAAUAAGACUUUAUUUUACAAAAGUUUCAGAUUUAUAGAAACAGUUCUCAUGUACUUAGCACCCAGUACCCCUAUUGUAACAUCUUCCAUAGUAUAGGGCAGUUAUUGUGACUAUAAAACAAUACUUACAGCUUAGCAUGAUGCUACAUGUUUGUGACCCCCAAGAUUCUGAGGCUGAAGCAGAAAGAUCACUUCAAAUUCUAGGCCUGCCUGACCUUCAGAAGAACCUGUCUUAAAACCAAGUGGUUCUGCUGCUCCCUGUAAUCCCCAGCCCUCUGGGUACAGAGACAAGAGAAUCAAUUCUGGGCUACAAGACCCCACUCAAGCACAAGGAGCCUGAGAGAAGCCUCAGCAGAUACAGGAACUGCUGUUAAGUCUGAUGACAGAGGAGUCUAGGAUCCACAUGGUGGAAGUGAAGAACUGACUCCCACAAGCUGUCCUCUGACCUACACUCAGUGCUUGCAGUGGCACACAAUAAAUAAAGAUGUAAAAAUCGUUUAAA